CCUACGGGAGGCAGCAGUGAGGAAUAUUGGUCAAUGGGCGCGAGCCUGAACCAGCCAAGUCGCGUGAGGGAAGACGGCCCUACGGGUUGUAAACCUCUUUUGCCGGGGAGCAACGGGCGCCACGUGUGGCGCCACUGAGAUUACCCGGAGAAAAAGCAUCGGCUAACUCCGUCUCAGCAGCCGCGGUAAUACGGGGGAUGGGAGGGGUAUCCGGAUUUUUUGGGUUUAAGGGGUGCGUGGGCGGAUCGUUAAGUCAGUGGUCAAAUGUAGGGGCUCAACCCCUUCCCGCCAUUGAAACUGGCGCUCUUGAGUGGAAGAGAAGUAUGCGGAAUGCGUGGUGUAGCGGUGAAAUGCAUAGAUAUCACGCAGAACCCCGAUUGCGAAGGCAGCAUGCCGGCUUCCGACUGACGCUGAAGCACGAAAGCGUGGGGAUCGAACAGGAUUAGAUACCCGAGUAGUC
This 460-nucleotide ribosomal RNA is filed under the name uncultured bacterium. RNAcentral describes it as "partial 16S ribosomal RNA". It matches the Rfam family "Bacterial small subunit ribosomal RNA", at positions 338 to 795 of the family's 1533-position model. The record is from RNAcentral.